Cyprinus carpio (common carp) is the source of this 1134-nucleotide long non-coding RNA. RefSeq lists it as uncharacterized. The record is from RefSeq and is a predicted model, not a curated record. The transcript is spliced from 2 exons. NCBI's taxonomy places the organism in Eukaryota, Metazoa, Chordata, Actinopteri, Cypriniformes, Cyprinidae.
GUAAAACCAUUUUUAUUUAAUAAAUGUUUAAUGCAAAGAAAACAUCACCUUUUUGUUUUUGGGGUUGAAUGUGUCGACAGUAGUUAAAUACUUUGGACAAACUUGUUUAUUAUUACCAGUACAUUGUAACAGUUCUGAAAAGCUGUUUCAUGUCAUAUGCUGUAAUGCUUCUCCCAACCUCAAGGGGGAUCUAGGGAAGUUUCUGAAGGGAAGGCUAUCCUUUUAAGAGAGACGAGUAAAACUGUUUGCUAGAGGUACUGGCAUGGCUUUGAGUAUUGCUCAACUUGGUAAUGCAUGAGACCCUAUUAUGAGGAACAUUUUUUGGUUCUACAGCUCAGUAGGGUUUUCUUUAGGCCUCUUUUGAUGAACAAGCACACUGUUCUGCAUCUGGACUAUAUGAUCUAUAUACUACACCUUUGCUUAUUUGGACUGACGUUUGGUUAUGGUUUGGGACACUGUAUGUUGAACUUUUGUGGAUUUCCAAUUGAACUGUCGGAAUGUGGUGAGAUACUCAUUACUUACCUGACUAUGUGGGAUUUGUGAGAAAUGGACUUUAUGAUUGAACUCAACAUGUGGUUGGGCUUAAAUGCUCUAACAAGAUGUUUCUUUUCUUUGAAUGUUUUGUUGAUAUUGGUGCUGUUAUGGGUGAUUGCUCUUUAACCCUUUAAAUAUAUUAUUCUCUACUCUUGGAUGAAUGGAUCCCCUUCCUUUUAUAUAUGUGACAAAAUAAGAGUGUUACAACAUGUCUGUUUUUCUGUCUAAUUUAGCAGAUGUGUCCUCUGCUUUAGAUAUUUUAGAAGUGCCUUUCUCUCCUCAGACAUUUGCAAAAUACUGAAUCAUCUUUGCUGUUCACACAUUUUGUCAUGGCUGUUAGAAUGCUAAUGUGUACUAUUGUUUGUUUUUAAGUCAACUCUGCUAAUAUGAUAAUGACUUACCUAUUGUACUACUACAUUUAUGUUUGCAUGGUAUACACAGCGUACCUUAAUGAGCCUUCAUUAAGUUUGUUUUAAAGGUAGCAUAGUUGCAUAAAGAUGUCUUUGUUUUUAACACAAGACGUCUUAUGAACUAUAUUUUAGCUUUAUAUUUUUUGUAAAGUAUUACCAUUCAUAAAUAUAAUAAAUGACAUUGAAUGCC